RNAcentral lists this ribosomal RNA (414 nucleotides) under uncultured bacterium. RNAcentral's name for it is "bacterial SSU rRNA". It matches the Rfam family "Bacterial small subunit ribosomal RNA", at positions 100 to 507 of the family's 1533-position model. The record is from RNAcentral.
AACGGUGAGUAAUAUAGUACGGAACGUUACCUUCAGGUGGGGAUAACGUAGACGAAAGUUACGCUAAUACCGCAUAUUCUGUGAGCAGGAAAGCGAGGGGAUCGCAAGACCUUGCGCUGAUUGAGCGGCCGAUAUCAGAUUAGCUAGUUGGUGAGGUAAAGGCUCACCAAGGCGACGAUCUGUAGCGGGUCUGAGAGGAUGAUCCGCCACACUGGAACUGAGACACGGUCCAGACUCCUACGGGAGGCAGCAGUGGGGAAUUUUUGGACAAUGGGCGCAAGCCUGAUCCAGCCAUGCCGCGUGAGUGAAGAAGGCCUUCGGGUUGUAAAGCUCUUUCGGCCGGGAAGAAAUCGCACAGGUUAAUACCCUGUGUGGAUGACGGUACCGGAAUAAGAAGCACCGGCUAACUACGUG